RNAcentral lists this long non-coding RNA (267 nucleotides) under Elaeis guineensis (African oil palm). RNAcentral describes it as "long non-coding RNA (EGUI_LNC053170)". Lineage: Eukaryota; Viridiplantae; Streptophyta; Magnoliopsida; Arecales; Arecaceae. The record is from RNAcentral.
UCUCUCUCUUCCAUGGGUUCUCACAGUCUCUGCGGCGAAAAAAAUUGAGCCACCACUCCUUUGUUCACUGUAUACAGGCCUUAAACCUCAAUUAGAUUAGGUUUAAGACUCCUAAUCAAGCCCAAAUUAAGUCCCAAAACUUUGGAUCAAGAUCGGGAUCAACCCAUGCCGUUGGAUCACACUUCGGUCCACAGAAUAGUGCCGUAGACCAUGAAAAACAGGUGGGAAAUAGCUUUAUGAUCCACGUGCUCCUCUGUGCACCACCCA